GCAAAAUGUCUAGGUGUUUAGACUGGUACCAAUGAUCUUGCAUCAAAACUGUAUAACUUUAAACAUGACCCUGAACAACUGGUUUCUUUAAGUGAUUCAACAGACUAGUUGAGUGAUGUGGGGGAGGGUACACCAAUAAAAAAGUGACCCUAGAAACAUGGAUGACGAGUAUGGUGGUGUAAUAGUGAAUUCUAAGAUUGAUUCUUUGCUUGAUCCAAAGGACCAGGUUGCCUGGCCGAAGUUGGAGCUGUGAGGACUCAUAGAGCAGAGAAGAGUUGUUCUCAGUUAUGAACUUGGAACACUAUGAAGAUGCAAGGGCUUACUGCAUAUGGAUAUUUGUUUUAUUUGGAUCUAGAUUACCGAUGACUAUGAGUCAUAUGUAAAUAUGUUUUUAUCCUACCACUCAAACAUAUA
Long non-coding RNA from Zea mays, 414 nucleotides. RefSeq lists it as uncharacterized. The record is from RefSeq and is a predicted model, not a curated record. NCBI's taxonomy places the organism in Eukaryota, Viridiplantae, Streptophyta, Magnoliopsida, Poales, Poaceae. The transcript has 3 exons.